UAUUUGGAGGCGAUAGAGGGAGCCGUCAGGAAGGUCAAGGUGAGGUAGAGGGAUAGAGGAAGCCGUCAGGAAGGUCAAGAAGUGAGAGAAAGCCUUCAGGAAAGUCAAGGAGAGGUAGAGGGAUAGAGGAAGCCGUCAGGAAAGUCAAGGUGAGGUAGAGGGAUAGAGGAAGCCGUCAGGAAGGUCAAGGUGUGGAAGAGGGAUAGAGGAAGCCGUCAGAAAGGUCAAGGUGAGAUAGAGAGAUAGAGGGUGCCGUCAGGAAGGUCAAGGUGAGGUAGAGGGAUAGAGAAAGCCGUCAGGAAAGUCAAGGUUAGGUAGAGGGAUAGAGGAAGCCUUCAGGAAGGUCAAGGUGAGGUAGAGGGAUAGAGGAAGCCGUCAGGAAGGUCAAGGUGAGGUAGAGGGUGCUGUCAGGAAGGUCAAGAAGAGAGAGAAAGCCGUCAGGAAAGUCAAGGAGAAGGAGAGGGAUAGAGUAAGCCAUCAGGAAGGUCAAGAAAAGAGAUAAAGUCGUCAGGAAGGUCAAGAAGAGAGAGAAAGCUGUCAGGAAAGUCAAGGAGAAGGAGAGGGAUAGAGUAAGCCGUCAGGAAGGUCAAGAAAAGAGAUGAAGCCGUCAGGAAGGUCAAGGUGAGGUAGAGGGAUAGUGGAAGCCGUCAGGAAGGUCAAGGUGAGGUAGAGGGUGCUGUCAGGAAGGUCAAGAAGAGAGAGAAAGCCGUCAGGAAAGUCAAGGAGAAGGAGAGGGAUAGAGUAAGCCAUCAGGAAGGUCAAGAAAAGAGAUAAAGUCGUCAGGAAGGUCAAGGUGAGGUAGAGGGAUAGAGGAAGCCGUCAGGAAGGUCAAGGUGAGGUAGAGGGUGCUGUCAGGAAGGUCAAGAAGAGAGAGAAAGCCGUCAGGAAAGUCAAGGAGAAGGAGAGGGAUAGAGUAAGCCAUCAGGAAGGUCAA
Long non-coding RNA from Nematostella vectensis (starlet sea anemone), 934 nucleotides. RefSeq lists it as uncharacterized. Lineage: Eukaryota; Metazoa; Cnidaria; Anthozoa; Actiniaria; Edwardsiidae. The record is from RefSeq and is a predicted model, not a curated record. The transcript is spliced from 2 exons.